RNAcentral lists this unclassified non-coding RNA (329 nucleotides) under soil metagenome. Its description in RNAcentral is "partial contains 5.8S ribosomal RNA, internal transcribed spacer 2, and large subunit ribosomal RNA". The stretch from base 1 to 120 matches the Rfam family "5.8S ribosomal RNA", at positions 35 to 154 of the family's 154-position model. The record is from RNAcentral.
GAUGAAGAACGCAGCGAAAUGCGAUAAGUAAUGUGAAUUGCAGAAUUCAGUGAAUCAUCGAAUCUUUGAACGCACAUUGCGCCCCUUGGUAUUCCGAGGGGCAUGCCUGUUCGAGCGUCAUUAUAACCCCUCAAGCUCAGCUUGGUGUUGGGGCCUGCUGCACUGGCAGCCCUUAAAAUCAGUGGCGGCGCCAUCUGGCUCUAAGCGUAGUAAUUCUUCUCGCUAUGGAGUCCUGUUGGAUGCUUGCCAUCAACCCCCAAUUUUUCUAUGGUUGACCUCGGAUCAGGUAGGGAUACCCGCUGAACUUAAGCAUAUCAAUAAGCGGAGGA